Molecule: ribosomal RNA, 489 nt
Filed under: uncultured bacterium
Lineage: Bacteria
Description: partial 16S ribosomal RNA
Rfam family: Bacterial small subunit ribosomal RNA
Source: RNAcentral
AUUGAACGCUGGCGGCAGGCCUAACACAUGCAAGUCGAACGGUAACAGGAAGAAGCUUGCUUCUUUGCUGACGAGUGGCGGACGGGUGAGUAAUGUCUGGGAAACUGCCUGAUGGAGGGGGAUAACUACUGGAAACGGUAGCUAAUACCGCAUAACGUCGCAAGACCAAAGAGGGGGACCUUCGGGCCUCUUGCCAUCGGAUGUGCCCAGAUGGGAUUAGCUAGUAGGUGGGGUAACGGCUCACCUAGGCGACGAUCCCUAGCUGGUCUGAGAGGAUGACCAGCCACACUGGAACUGAGACACGGUCCAGACUCCUACGGGAGGCAGCAGUGGGGAAUAUUGCACAAUGGGCGCAAGCCUGAUGCAGCCAUGCCGCGUGUAUGAAGAAGGCCUUCGGGUUGUAAAGUACUUUCAGCGGGGAGGAAGGGAGUAAGUUAAUACCUUUGCUCAUUGACGUUACCCGCAGAAGAAGCACCGGCUAACUCCGUG